AUACAGGCUGAUACGCCCAAGAGUUCAUAUCGACGGCGGUGUUUGGCACCUCGAUGUCGGCUCAUCACAUCCUGGGGCUGAAGUAGGUCCCAAGGGUAUGGCUGUUCGCCAUUUAAAGUGGUACGCGAGCUGGGUUUAGAACGUCGUGAGACAGUUCGGUCCCUAUCUGCCGUGGGCGCUGGAGAACUAGGGGGGCUGCUCCUAGUACGAGAGGACCGGAGUGGACGCAUCACUGGUGUUCGGGUUGUCAUGCCAAUGGCACUGCCCGGUAGCUAAAUGCGGAAGAGAUAAGUGCUGAAAGCAUCUAAGCACGAAACUUGCCCCGAGAUGAGUUCUCCCUGAGACUUAGAGUCUCCUGAAGGAACGUUGAAGACGACGACGUUGAUAGGCCGGGUGUGUAAGCGCAGCGAUGCGUUGAGCUAACCGGUACUAAUGAACCGUGAGGCUUAACCUUAC
RNAcentral lists this ribosomal RNA (456 nucleotides) under Salmonella enterica subsp. enterica serovar Montevideo str. ATCC BAA710. Its description in RNAcentral is "bacterial LSU rRNA". It matches the Rfam family "Bacterial large subunit ribosomal RNA", at positions 2475 to 2925 of the family's 2925-position model. The record is from RNAcentral. Lineage: Bacteria; Pseudomonadati; Pseudomonadota; Gammaproteobacteria; Enterobacterales; Enterobacteriaceae.